RNAcentral lists this long non-coding RNA (400 nucleotides) under Suricata suricatta (meerkat). RNAcentral describes it as "lncRNA (ENSSSUG00005019932.1)". The record is from RNAcentral. Lineage: Eukaryota; Metazoa; Chordata; Mammalia; Carnivora; Herpestidae.
GUUUAAAUAGUUGCGAGACAGCAACCGCGCAGGCGCAUUCUGAGCCUCCCCAGGGAGGGACCGCUUAGCGGUCCAGCGCCGCCCGCAAGGGAAGCACAGUCUCCUCCUCCAGCCCUGCGGACCCGGGCCUGGUCCUUCUCCUGGAGGCACGUGCGCAGAACCCAGCAGUGGCCACCGGGACCCUGAUGGCUGUGGACCAGGAUGCCUUCAACGGCAAGGAAAAGAAAACCCCAGUCAGAUGGUCACGAACACUAGACAGAAGAAACCUACGGGUCGGACGACCUCCCGCUGCUGUCCGUUAAUACAGUGAAGCCUUGGAUUGCGAGUAAGCGUCGCCCACGAGUGUUCCGCAAGACCAGCAAACGUUUCUAAUAAAUUUUACCUCGAUAAAUGAGCGACG